GGCGAACGGGUGNGUAACGCGUGAGGAACCUGCCUCAAAGAGGGGGACAACAGUUGGAAACGACUGCUAAUACCGCAUAAGCCCACGGGUCGGCAUCGACCAGAGGGAAAAGGAGCAAUCCGCUUUGAGAUGGCCUCGCGUCCGAUUAGCUAGUUGGUGAGGUAAUGGCCCACCAAGGCAACGAUCGGUAGCCGGACUGAGAGGUUGAACGGCCACAUUGGGACUGAGACACGGCCCAGACUCCUACGGGAGGCAGCAUG
RNAcentral lists this ribosomal RNA (260 nucleotides) under uncultured bacterium. RNAcentral's name for it is "partial 16S ribosomal RNA". It matches the Rfam family "Bacterial small subunit ribosomal RNA", at positions 97 to 353 of the family's 1533-position model. The record is from RNAcentral.